Paramisgurnus dabryanus is the source of this 1246-nucleotide long non-coding RNA. RefSeq lists it as uncharacterized. The record is from RefSeq and is a predicted model, not a curated record. Lineage: Eukaryota; Metazoa; Chordata; Actinopteri; Cypriniformes; Cobitidae.
UGGCUGUUGGCUCAUAUUAUUAUUGAUUUUGACAAUUUUCUUACAGCCCUUGUCUGUCAAAAUAAUGCAACCUCUGGUUGUAAAGCACAUUUUAAACUGAUCUUCUUCAUUCUGUCACUAGCCCACCACAAUCCAUGUUUACCAGCUGUGAAAGUGCAGGCCAAAAAUCUUCCUUCACCUGUGGGCCUCUACCCACAUGUAGAUAAGCACUUCAGGAGAAACCUGCCUGUGAUCUGCUAAGAUGCACAGAUUCAACUCUGGCCCAUUGUCAUCCCAACACCUCAUCUGCCAUCAGUUUCGUUUAGUGUUGGUCUAUUGCAAAAGUUCUUACUUUAAAUGAGACUUUGUGUUAAGCAGGGGUUUCCAAACUUUUCAUUCCACAACAUAUUAAGCCCAGGAUACACAGCAGGAUUUUUGCAAUCCAAUAAGACCUUAUCACACUGUGUGACAAGGAUGGUUUAAACUUCAGCAGUAGACUGUCGAUGAAGACACCUAUUGCAUCUGAAGCUGCGACAUCUGUCAUCAACAUGCGCUAGUGGUAAACAAAUACAGGUAUGCAGGUCGUAGAAGCAAACACAUUGUUGAUGUGCGAUGAUCAUGCUGAACUUCUUACACUGUCAUAAAACUAUCAUAGGUGUCUUUGGUCCCAGGACUGGGAAAACAGACGUCUUUAAACCUCUCACACUGUAUGAGAUAGGACCACCAAUUAAGAGCCACGAUCACAGAAAUCUCCACGAUUGUUUCACGAUUGGUAAUCUUUCAUCUGGGACAGCCAAAAAUCGUGCCGUGUAUUAUGGGCUUUAGACAGGUGUAAUCUUAUAGUAUAUCAAAACCAUUGCUAAUAAUUAAUUGGACAAACCAUCACUACAAUGCAACACUCACUAUCUUACGGUGCGACCCACAAGUGGGUCUUCACCCACAGUUUAAAAACCCUGAGAAUGAGAAAGAGUAUGUUGUAUUGUAAUUAAAGUCACAUCUAAGUGUUAUGGAGCAGUUUGUCAUUAUAUUCACAGUAUUACAUGGUUCUUUCAGCAGUUACUAUGUUACAGUGCUCUUAAAGUGUCCUGAUCAGCUUUGGGUCUUGUGAAGUAAUGUAAUGAGAACGUGAUCAAUAGCUUUGCAGUAUUUUGUUACACUGUGGCUGUAAUCAUAUUAACACAUAGGUUAAACAUUUUAUUCAAAUUUGGUAAACAAACUAGUCAAUAUAAUUCAUGCUGUGAUGCUGGAUUAAACCUGGUCAAAUGAU